GACGAACGCUGGCGGCGUGCUUAACACAUGCAAGUCGAGCGGUAAGGCCCUUUCGGGGGUACACGAGCGGCGAACGGGUGAGUAACACGUGGGUGACCUGCCCUCAGCUCUGGGACAAGCCCGGGAAACUGGGUCUAAUACUGGAUAUGACUCCAUGACGCAUGUUGUGGGGUGGAAAGCCUUGUGCGGCUGGGGAUGGGCCCGCGGCCUAUCAGCUUGUUGGUGGGGUGAUGGCCUACCAAGGCGACGACGGGUAGCCGGCCUGAGAGGGCGACCGGCCACACUGGGACUGAGACACGGCCCAGACUCCUACGGGAGGCAGCAGUGGGGAAUCUUGCGCAAUGGGCGAAAGCCUGACGCAGCGACGCCGCGUGAGGGAUGACGGCCU
This 388-nucleotide ribosomal RNA is filed under the name uncultured bacterium. RNAcentral's name for it is "bacterial SSU rRNA". It matches the Rfam family "Bacterial small subunit ribosomal RNA", at positions 28 to 417 of the family's 1533-position model. The record is from RNAcentral.